GGCACGGGCCUGGUGGCCCAUCCGGUCUUCAAAACCGGCAGGGCCGGGCGAUCCCCGGCUUGGAAGGUUCGAUUCCUUCGCCGC
This 84-nucleotide transfer RNA is filed under the name Solirubrobacteraceae bacterium. Its description in RNAcentral is "tRNA-Sec". It matches the Rfam family "Selenocysteine transfer RNA". Lineage: Bacteria; Bacillati; Actinomycetota; Thermoleophilia; Solirubrobacterales; Solirubrobacteraceae. The record is from RNAcentral. RNAcentral also lists the same sequence under 1 other name.